AGAUGUUCUAAAACAGAAUGAGCAAGAAGUGGCAUGCAUUUUAAAAAAAAGGCCAUCCACAACUUUCAUUGUACAUGUUCUAUCUAGCCAAUCAUUAAAUUAUAGAUGUUUUCAUCACUAAAUUUGUACAGUGUUGAAAUGGGAUUCUAACACCCAUUUCCAUUUCCUUAAAAAAAAAUAAUAAUCACUGAUUCUCACCCCUGUAGGUGAGUGGUUACUAGCUUUGAUCUGGAUUCUCAGGAGAUUAUAUUGGCUAAGUCAGUCUCUCAGCCUCAACAAAUGAACAUAGAAAGCCGCCUUAUUCAAGAGUCAGAUGAUUCCAGUACUGGCAGUUCUGCCUUGAGGUGAUUCCAACUAAGUGUUCAGAGUGGAAUUUCCAUGCUUUGUUUGCUCGUUUUAAGGGCGUACACAUGAUGCUAUCAUUCAAUCAUCCUGUAUUUUCCCUAUGUUUUUUCUGUUUUUUUCUCAAACUGCAGAAAGUCUGCCUUUUUAAAAAGCGAACUGGAAGAGUAGCAGAAGCACCACAGGUAUAGAUACUUUUUAGCACCACACUCCCAACUUUUUUUAUAUGGGUAUUUACAUGGUCAAUGACUUUAUGGGGAAAUGAACAAAUUAAUCAUAACAUUUGCGGUGGAUGACAUUUUUUAAAACCUUUGUUUUUUAAAACAAUGUUUUGGUUACCACUCAAAAGCUUUUCCAUCUCUUAUUUUCUGAAAAUGAAAGAACUGUGCACCUUCUCUUUCAUGAAAAAGCUGGAAAUCUUUAAGGAUUUUUUUAAAAAGGCUCGUAAAAUGCCACCCACCACACGGGUUAUAGUGAAUAUACGCUGAGCUGCAGAUGACCCUUUUCACAGCUGCAACUGUCUCUCCACUUGAGUGGCCAGAACAUAAUGUGAUGCACAAUACUCCCAAUAGUGUGGAAAGUCAGCUGUGAUUCUGCUCAUAGCUUACAAUAGAAGAACAAUGAUUGGGUAGCACUUUGGGCCACUUGUCUAAAAGCAGCCUCUCUAAGGUCUCAGGCAGAAGUAUUUCUCCCCCCAGCACCAGCUACCAGAAACCAUUUUAACUAGAAAUUCCAAGGCAAAACUAUUGGAAACUGUGUUCUACCAUAGGUUUUGAGUAAUGGUCCCUGCUCAACUCAAAAGGAAUGUGGUAUUAACAGCACUUCACUCAAAGGGUUAUUGUGAUACUUUAAAUAUUUUCACACCUAUCUAUUAUCUCAUUCAAUUUUUCUUUGGAAGACAUUCUAUGCAGCCAAAAAACCCAAAGAGUCUUGUGGCACCUUGAAGAGGUGUGUUCAUAUAUGAUAUGAAAUGUAAAACAUAGGUUUGAUUUCUGAUUUAUAACUGGAGUCAGCUAAUUUUUUGCCUUUUAUUUUUAGAUCAGGCAUCCUGAUGUCUGGGCCAAUUAUCCAACCUGAUCAGGGAUGAUGAGAGUUGUUGUUCAUAACAUGGAGUUGGGAAAGGCACUUUUAUAUCAACUGUUUCUGGGUACUGUAUAUGCCACCUGAAUUGUAUCACAAUUCAUGCAUCUGAUAAAAUGGACUUCAGCCCAUGAAAGCAUGUGCUACAAUGAAUUUAUUCUUCUUUAAUGUGUCAAAACACUCUUUGUUACUUGGUAAGUUAGCCCUCUUUAUAAAAUUAUUACUUUCCUAUUAAACAUGCUUUACAUCAUUGUUCAGCUGUAUACUGAAGCUGGCUAUUUAUUAAAUGAAUUAAUGAAUAGAUACUGUAUGCACUGGUCACCUAUGGGGGAGAAAUCAUUAUACUGUAAUCAAGUGCAAAAUUCAUGUAACUUACCAUUGUUUAGUACAGUCUUGCAGAUAAACAAUAUACUAGCCUUGCUAACUUGCACAAACUUUGUAACUGGGUGUGAUCCAGACCCAGAUCCAGCAUAGUAUACAACAGUCUUUCUCAACCGUGGAUCCCAAGAGGUUCCUAAAUUACAACACCUAUCAUCCAUGCUGGCUAGGAAUGAUGGGAGUUGCAGUCCAACAACAUCUAGGGAACCCAAGGUUGAAAAAGGCUGGAAUAGCAGUUAGACCAGGCGUCCCCAAACUUUGGCCCUCCAGAUGUUUUGGACUACAAUUCCCAUCUUCCCCGGCCACUGGUCCUGUUAGCUAAGGAUCAUGGGAGUUGUAGGCCAAAACAUCUGGAAGGCCGCAGUUUGGGAAUGCCUGAGUUAGACUGUUGAACAAGGAUAAGAGAGACCAGGAUUAAAAUCCCCACUCCAGCCAUUAGGUUCACUGGAUAUACUUGGGCCAGUCACUCUCUCUCAGUCUAGCCUACCUCACAAGGUUGUUGCCAAGGUUAAAUGAGACAGUCCUUGAAGGAAAGGCGGGAUAGGAAUGGAAAUAAUAAACACAAUUUUUUAAAAAAGCCCUGUUAAUCAUCUCAGGUGACUGACUAACAGCAAGUCUGGUUUAUUGGAAUUCAGACCUAGACCAAGAUUAUGGACUUGAUGAGGCACAUCAGUGCCGCCUAAGUCAAGGUUGCAAUGUACUUCCAGAAAGAGCAGCCUACAUAGUUACAGCCAUACACAAAACACAAAAGGUGACAUGUAGUUUCAGUGAUGAAAAGCCACAAAGUCAUUGUUCUUAAUCCAAAGGAUAGCUACUACAGCAACUACAUGGAAAUUCCCCCCUCUUUUGUUAUUACCUAAUUCUGCCAUGGACACAGUAGGAGAAGUCUCUCCAUUUGUAAAAGAGCAAUAAGGAAAGAAGCCCGAUGCAGGUGUGUAGUCGCAUAUCGGUUCUGGUUUGAUUCCAUUAAUAUCAAGCCCCGACUGAUCUGGAGAAGGCUGUAUGUCUAAGUAGAAGCUGCUAACGGCAGAGUCUGCUUUGCUACCUUCAGGGGUAUGCCCAUCAAUGUAAUUACUGAGGUCAUCGUGCAGUUCUGUGAGCCCAUUGGGAGUGAUAUUGUAUGUUGGCGUCAAUGGCUCUGCCUCUCCGGGUUGCUGCUGGUGAUCUCGCUGUUGUUGCUGCAUCCGGUGUUUCUGCACUUCUGCAUACAAGCUGUCCCUCUGCUUUUUUGACAUUCGACCAAACUUUACAGCUGAAAUAUAUCCAUAAGCAAUAUAUUUUAUCACCACCAGCUGCAGCAGUAAAAUGCUAUGUUAGGACACAUCAUAUGUAAGUCUAGGGUAGCUACUAAGCAGUUCACAACAUCACCACAACACACUUUUGCUUGAUCAUACAGGUGCAGUCAUAUAUUAGGUGAGAAGGUAGGUAUUAUCCUAUGGGGUCAGCCUCUUGAAAAGGCAAGUCAUGUGUAAUAUAGUUAGGGCAUGUACGAGCAAUAGAAUAAUUUGAGGAGAUGGCUUUUAGGCAAACAGUCAUCAAAAGGGAAAUUUUAAGAAGAAAAAUAAUGAACAUGAUUAGAUUUCAAUCAUAGGGGCAAAUAUAUUUAAUUUGCAUAAUAGUCUGUUCCAUAUUUGGGCUUCCUUGGUGCAAAAUGCAGAGUUUCUUUUACUUAAGAGAAGUUAUAACUUUGAUGUCGGCCUGUCAUCCAAGAGAGGAGUAUUUAAUCCUUACUACGGUGACACUGACAUCUAUUAGCAGCAGGUUUUCAUAGUCUCUGUACCAGUAAUGGGGGAGGAAGAAGGUGGAGGAAAUAUAAAGAUUGGUUGGAGGAAGAAAAAUACAGGACACCCAUAAUGUUGUAUGAAUGGAAUAAGGAAUGUGAAAGAAAAUUAAAGUAGAGCUGGCCUAGUGACACCAGUAAGAAAGGCAGGCAUUUACUCGGUGUGUAGUGUGACUGUGUAAGCAGCAGCAAAACAAAACCCUGGAAGCCACUAGCUGCAUCAGUCCACAGUAAAUUCAGUGACUUAUGAGGCACAGUAUAUUUCAAGACAAAUAUUUUAAGAAUGGGAUGAGCAAGCAGAAAGCUAAGGAGUGUCACACAUACAAGACAGCUGACCUGAACUAGCAAAGCUCACCAUCUCGAGACAUCCCCACAGCAAGGCAUUUCUGUAAACGACAGUGUUGGCAACGGUUUCUACUGGUUCGAUCAAUUAAACAGUUCUUCUGUCGGGGACAGGAAUAUGUGGCGUUACUUUGCUGA
Molecule: non-coding RNA, 4060 nt
Organism: Zootoca vivipara (common lizard)
Lineage: Eukaryota; Metazoa; Chordata; Lepidosauria; Squamata; Lacertidae
Source: RefSeq, a predicted model, not a curated record